RNAcentral lists this non-coding RNA (80 nucleotides) under Burkholderiales bacterium. RNAcentral's name for it is "SAH sequence". It matches the Rfam family "SAH (S-adenosyl-L-homocysteine) riboswitch aptamer". The record is from RNAcentral. Lineage: Bacteria; Pseudomonadati; Pseudomonadota; Betaproteobacteria; Burkholderiales.
CGCCCCAAGGAGCGUUGCAGCGGACCACCCCGGUCCGUCAGGCUUGGGGCGGCGGUUUUUCCCAACGGCGCUCACCAGAU